RNAcentral lists this ribosomal RNA (253 nucleotides) under uncultured bacterium. RNAcentral describes it as "partial 16S ribosomal RNA". It matches the Rfam family "Bacterial small subunit ribosomal RNA", at positions 524 to 776 of the family's 1533-position model. The record is from RNAcentral.
UACGGAGGGUGCGAGCGUUGUCCGGAAUCACUGGGCGUAAAGGGCGCGUAGGCGGCCUGGUAAGUAGGGGGUGAAAUCCUGCGGCUUAACCGCAGGGCUGCCUUCUAAACUGUCAGGCUCGAGCACAGUAGAGGCAGGUGGAAUUCCCGGUGUAGCGGUGGAAUGCGUAGAGAUCGGGAAGAACAUCAGUGGCGAAGGCGGCUCUCUGGACCAGCACUGACACUGAGGCACGAAAGCGUGGGGAGCAAACAGG